AUUGAACGCUGGCGGAAUGCUUUACACAUGCAAGUCGAACGGCAGCACGGACUUCGGUCUGGUGGCGAGUGGCGAACGGGUGAGUAAUGUAUCGGAACGUGCCCAGUCGUGGGGGAUAACGUAGUGAAAAUUACGCUAAUACCGCAUACGAUCUAUGGAUGAAAGCGGGGGAUCGCAAGACCUCGCGCGAUUGGAGCGGCCGAUAUCAGAUUAGGUAGUUGGGGGGGUAAAGGCCCACCAAGCCAACGAUCUGUAGCUGGUCUGAGAGGACGACCAGCCACACUGGAACUGGGACACGGUCAAGACUCCUACGGGAGGCAGCAGUGGGGAAUUUUGGACAAUGGGCGAAAGCCUGAUCCAGCCAUUCCGCGUGCAGGAUGAAGGCCCUCGGGUUGUAAACUGCUUUUGUACAGAACGAAAAGGUUUCUACUAAUACUAGGAGCUCAUGACGGUACUGUAAGAAUAAGCACCGGCUAACUACGUGCCAGCCGCCGCCGUAA
This 500-nucleotide ribosomal RNA is filed under the name uncultured bacterium. RNAcentral's name for it is "partial 16S ribosomal RNA". It matches the Rfam family "Bacterial small subunit ribosomal RNA", at positions 30 to 523 of the family's 1533-position model. The record is from RNAcentral.